AACGAACGCUGGCGGUAUGCUUAACACAUGCAAGUCGAACGAACAAAAUUGGGGCUUGCUCCAAUUUUAGUGAGUGGCAAACGGGUGAGUAACACGUGGGAAUCUACCUAUCAGUACGGAAUAACAUUUGGAAACAGAUGCUAAUACCGUAUAUUCUCCAAGGAGGAAAGAUUUAUCGCUGAUAAAUGAGCCCGCGUAAGAUUAGGUAGUUGGUAGGGUAAUGGCCUACCAAGCCGACGAUCUUUAGCUGGUCUGAGAGGAUGAUCAGCCACACUGGGACUGAGACACGGCCCAGACUCCUACGGGAGGCAGCAGUGGGGAAUAUUGGAAAAUGGGCGAAAGCCUGACCCAGCAAUACCGCGUGAAUGAUGAAGGCCUUAGGGUUGUAAAGUUCUUUUAGUUGGAAAGAUAAUGACGGUACCAACAGAAAAAGCCCCGGCUAACUCCGUGCCAGCAGCCGCCGCCG
RNAcentral lists this ribosomal RNA (466 nucleotides) under uncultured bacterium. RNAcentral describes it as "partial 16S ribosomal RNA". It matches the Rfam family "Bacterial small subunit ribosomal RNA", at positions 29 to 523 of the family's 1533-position model. The record is from RNAcentral.